GACAGCAGUCGCCACGGUAAUACGUAGGUGGCGAGCGUUGUCCGGAAUUAUUGGGCGUAAAGGGAGCGCAGGCGGACAUAUAAGUCCAUCUUAAAAGUGCGGGGCUCAACCCCGUGAGGGGAUGGAAACUGUAUGCCUUGAGUGCAGGAGAGGAAAGCGGAAUUCCCAGUGUAGCGGUGAAAUGCGUAGAUAUUGGGAGGAACACCAGUGGCGAAGGCGGCUUUCUGGACUGUAACUGACGCUGAGGCUCGAAAGCCAGGGGAGCGAACGGGAUUAGAUACCCCAGUAGUCCCUGUCUCUUAUACA
RNAcentral lists this ribosomal RNA (306 nucleotides) under uncultured bacterium. RNAcentral's name for it is "partial 16S ribosomal RNA". It matches the Rfam family "Bacterial small subunit ribosomal RNA", at positions 507 to 809 of the family's 1533-position model. The record is from RNAcentral.